UACAGAGGGGGCAAGCGUUGUUCGGAAUUACUGGGCGUAAAGGGCGCGUAGGCGGCCCGCUAAGUCGAACGUGAAAUCCCCGAGCUCAACUCGGGAACUGCGUCCGAGACUGGCGGGCUUGAAUCCGGGAGAGGGAUGCGGAAUUCCAGGAGUAGCGGUGAAAUGCGUAGAUAUCUGGAGGAACACCGGUGGCGAAGGCGGCAUCCUGGACCGGCAUUGACGCUGAGGCGCGAAAGCUAGGGGAGCAAACGGG
Molecule: ribosomal RNA, 253 nt
Filed under: uncultured bacterium
Lineage: Bacteria
Description: partial 16S ribosomal RNA
Rfam family: Bacterial small subunit ribosomal RNA
Source: RNAcentral